RNAcentral lists this ribosomal RNA (468 nucleotides) under uncultured bacterium. Its description in RNAcentral is "partial 16S ribosomal RNA". It matches the Rfam family "Bacterial small subunit ribosomal RNA", at positions 28 to 507 of the family's 1533-position model. The record is from RNAcentral.
GACGAACGCUGGCGGCGUGCUUAACACAUGCAAGUCGAACGGAAAGGCCCGGCUUUUGUGGGCUGCUCGAGUUGCGAACGGGUGAGUAACACGUGAGUAACCUGCCCUUGACUUUGGGAUAACUUCAGGAAACUGGGGCUAAUACCGGAUAGGAGCUCCUGCUGCAUGGUGGGGGUUGGUAAGUUUCGGCGGUUGGUGAUGGACUCGCGGCUUAUCAGCUUGUUGGUGGGGUAGUGGCUUACCAAGGCUUUGACGGGUAGCCGGGCUGAGAGGGUGACCGGCCACACUGGGACUGAGAUACGGCACAGACUCGUCCGGGAGGCAGCAGUGGGGAAUAUUGCACAAUGGGCGGAAGCCUGAUGCAGCAACGCAGCGUGCGGGAUGACGGGCUUCGGGUUGUAAACCGCUUUCGCCUGUGACGAAGCGUGAGUGACGGUAAUGGGUAAAGAAGCACCGGCUAACUACGUG